Molecule: ribosomal RNA, 424 nt
Filed under: uncultured eukaryote
Lineage: Eukaryota
Description: partial 18S ribosomal RNA
Rfam family: Eukaryotic small subunit ribosomal RNA
Source: RNAcentral
AAUGACUUAACGAGGAUCAAUUGGAGGGCAAGUCUGGUGCCAGCAGCCGCGGUAAUUCCAGCUCCAAUAGCGUAUAUUAAAGUUGUUGCAGUUAAAAAAGUUCGUAGUUGGAUUUGAGAAAAGAAGAUUAGCUGGGGAGUAGGAGACUGUAAAAGGUUGAUUGCUUUCCAUUCUUUUCUAGUUUGAAAAAAACUAAUCAAAAUAGAGGUUUACUCCUUUGUUUUGAUCUUUUACUUUGAGGAAAUUAGAGUGUUCAAAGCAGGCAACAUUUAGUUUUGCCACUUUUUUUUUGAAUAUUGCAGCAUGGUAUAAUAAAAUAAGAUUGAUUAAAUUAAAUUUGUUGAAUCAAGUGUGGGAUGCUUUAAACGGUGUUUCACAUGAAUUUCAAAUUUAAUCAAUAAUGAUAAAUAGAGAUAGUUGGGGG